CAACCAAGCAUGGCUGCAUUGAAGAAUCAAUCUUUUCUCUCUCUCUCACGUAGAAAGAACAAGCUUAUCACUGUUCUCAGAUGGCAUCUUUUUCAACCUCGACCUUACAGCCAAGGUACUUUGGUUUUACCAAAAAUAAUGUACAGAUGCUAGCUAAAUAAAAAAUCAGUAAAGGUGAGUGUUUAAAUCAACCAUGAAUGAAUGAUAAUAUAUGCUAAGU
This 220-nucleotide long non-coding RNA is filed under the name Rattus norvegicus (Norway rat). Its description in RNAcentral is "long non-coding RNA NONRATT033560". Lineage: Eukaryota; Metazoa; Chordata; Mammalia; Rodentia; Muridae. The record is from RNAcentral.